This 494-nucleotide ribosomal RNA is filed under the name uncultured bacterium. RNAcentral describes it as "partial 16S ribosomal RNA". It matches the Rfam family "Bacterial small subunit ribosomal RNA", at positions 28 to 507 of the family's 1533-position model. The record is from RNAcentral.
GACGAACGCUGGCGGCGUGCUUAACACAUGCAAGUCGAACGGAAAGGCCUGCUUUCCCUUGUGGAUUGCGGGUACUCGAGUGGCGAACGGGUGAGUAACACGUGAGUGAUCUGCCCCCAACUUGGGUAUAGGCCUGGGAUACUGGGUCUAAUUCCCGAUAGGACUGCAGGGUGGUGCCUGUGGUGGAAAACGAUUUUCUAGUGGUUGGGGAUGAGCUCGCGGCCUAUCAGCUUGUUGGUGGGGUAAUGGCCUACCAAUGCGGGGACGGGGAGCCGGCCUGAGAGGGUGGACGGCCACAUUGGGACUGGGAUACGGCCCAGACGCCUGCGGGAGGCAGGAGUGGGGAGUAAUGGACAGUGGGCGGAAGCCUGAGGCAGCGACGCCGCGUGGGGGAUGACGGCCUUGGGGUUGUAAACUCCUUGCGACCACGAGGAAGCCACCUGGUUGGAAGGGUGGUGACGGUAGUGGUAGAAGAAGCACCGGCUAACUACGUG